GAGCUUUUAGGUUAUUUAAACUUUGGGCCUUCAAAGUCUUAGAAAACGAAUUGUUGCUAAAGCUUG
RNAcentral lists this transfer RNA (66 nucleotides) under Kulikovia alborostrata. RNAcentral describes it as "tRNA-Trp". The record is from RNAcentral. Lineage: Eukaryota; Metazoa; Nemertea; Pilidiophora; Heteronemertea; Lineidae.